UACCAUGUUGGGCAAGCUUUCCGAAAGGAAAUGCGCGCAAAGCAAUGGGUCUAAGGCCCUUCUUUGAGGGCUAUGACUGCCAUGCUGCAGAU
RNAcentral lists this non-coding RNA (92 nucleotides) under Clostridia bacterium. RNAcentral's name for it is "c-di-GMP sequence". It matches the Rfam family "c-di-GMP-I riboswitch aptamer". From Rfam's summary of the family: GEMM was predicted in a large-scale screen for bacterial structured RNA regulatory elements. Genes associated with GEMM are involved in a diverse array of functions, including chemotaxis regulation, signal transduction, secretion and chitin. Lineage: Bacteria; Bacillati; Bacillota; Clostridia. The record is from RNAcentral.